AUCCGGGGCUUAACUCCGGGCGUGCAGGCGAUACGGGCAUAACUUGAGUGCUGUAGGGGAGACUGGAAUUCCUGGUGUAGCGGUGAAAUGCGCAGAUAUNAGGAGGAACACCAAUGGCNAAGGCNGGUCUCUGGGCNGUAACUGACGCUGAGGAGCGAAAGCAUGGGUAGCGAACAGGAUUAGAUACCCUGGGAGUCCAUGCCNUAAACGGUGGGCGCUAGGUGUGGGGGUCUUCCACGACUUCUGUGCCGUAGCUAACGCAUUAAGCGCCCCGCCUGGGGAGNACGGCCGCAAGGCUAAAACUCAAAGGAAUUGACGGGGGCCCGCACAAGCGGCGGAGCAUGNGGAUUAAUUCGAUGCAACGCNAAAAACCUUACCUGGGCUUGACAUAUGCCGGAUCGGCNCAAAGAUUNGUUUUCCCUUGUGGUCGGUAUACAGGUGGUGCAUGGNUGUCGUCANCUCGUGUCNNGAGAUGUUGGGUUAAGUCCCGCAACGAGCGCAACCCUUGUCUUGUGNUGCCNNNACGCUAUGGUGGGGACUCGCGAGNNANUGCCAGGGUUAANUNNGAGGAAGGGGGGAUGACGUCAAANCAUCUUGCCCCNUAUGUCCNGGACUUCNCACNUGCUACAAGGGUCNGUACACCGGGCUCGCUAAACCCUAGAGGUGGUGCUAAUCAC
This 677-nucleotide ribosomal RNA is filed under the name uncultured bacterium. RNAcentral's name for it is "partial 16S ribosomal RNA". It matches the Rfam family "Bacterial small subunit ribosomal RNA", at positions 600 to 1275 of the family's 1533-position model. The record is from RNAcentral.